Nelumbo nucifera (sacred lotus) is the source of this 1226-nucleotide non-coding RNA. The record is from RefSeq and is a predicted model, not a curated record. NCBI's taxonomy places the organism in Eukaryota, Viridiplantae, Streptophyta, Magnoliopsida, Proteales, Nelumbonaceae.
AUUUGAAAUGCUAUGAAGAUAAAUGAUGCCAAAGUUUUUCCCUUUGUGAAUGUUUUCCUUAUUCAUAUGCAUUUUCUGAUUUGGAAAGGGAAAGUGAUUUUAAACAUUUUCUAAGUUAAGGGAUUAUAACAUACAUUGGGGCCUAGAAGAAUCUCAAUGAUCAAUAGCUAGCAGACAAGCUUUGCAAGCCCCAUUAACAUUUUGUUUUUAUUCUUUAGGAAGAUAAUAAGUAAUAGUAAUGGAACAAUUUUUAGAUUAAUCAGAUCCUUAGGGAGUUCUUAGGGAGUUCCCAGUGCCUAUUGGGCCUGAAAACAUUGCUCUACUACAUUUUUGUCUCUACACUCCCUCCUCCAUUUCAGAAGGACCUAGAGUUCCCAUGUUACCGCCUACUGCCAUCAGAGUUGAAUUUUGUGACACCUCUACUAGGCAGAGUGAAAGUUUAGUGCUGCUAGGAUGAUGGAAGUUUUGGGUCAAGAAGGAUGUGAAAGAAGUGCUGAUUUGUUUUAAUGCAGUUGGGAACCCCAUACCAUGUGAUCAGCCACGUGCCUAUCCAAGAGAAUGUAAUGGCUAGGAGGCUAUUUGUAAAUUAUUGAAUGGUAGCCAUGGCCAAUUGAUCAGGAAAAAAGGGGAAAGAAAAAUGUAGUAGUAAAUCUACUUGGGUCAAACUGUUUUUGAAUAUUCUGUAAUUUAGCUAUUUGGAGAAAAAUAAAGCUAUUUGAUGUUAUUUUUAAUUUUUACUGUUUUUUCCUUUUCUUUUCCCCCCUUUUUGAAGUAGGACAGAAUUCAUUUUGCUGAGAUCAAAUAGUUGGGAUUAAGGCUGAGUUGAGUUGAGAUCUUUUCUUUUUCUUUGAUUGCAGGCAAUGCAGAGCUGUACUGCAAAGUUGGUGUACCUUUUGUAAUGGGAACUACAGGUGGGGACAGGGAAAGAUUGUACAAGACUGGAAGACUCAAAUGUUUAUGCUAUAAUCUCUCCAUAGAUGGGAAAAGAGGUUGUUGUAUUUCUUGCUGCUAUGGAGAUUAUGGCUGAACAAUUUCCUGGAGCCUUUUCAGGUUAUUCUUUACAACUCAAGUGUCAAAUAUCCAAGUUGGCCAAAGUCAGCCCUUACAAAGUGAGAAAACAAUAUUCUUUUAAAGAUUUUCACUUCAUUUUAUUUGAUCUUGUAUUUUGAGCAUUGACCAAUUUUUUACUGAUAAACAUAAUCUAUUCUCUAAAAAUUUAUAUGGUA